This 434-nucleotide unclassified non-coding RNA is filed under the name Hevea brasiliensis (rubber tree). The record is from RNAcentral. Lineage: Eukaryota; Viridiplantae; Streptophyta; Magnoliopsida; Malpighiales; Euphorbiaceae.
GAUGAAGACCCAGGGGAGAACCGGACGGCGACCUCCCAGUAGCAGCGCACAUGGACCAGGCAAAGACGACAGGGAGAUGGUGUGCUUCAAGUGCGGGACCAAGGGGCACCGAGCGAGAGCGUGUCGACAGAAGACGUGGUGUAGUGUUUGCAAAAAUGACACACACAGGGACGCGACAUGCAGACGAAAAGACAAAGACAGAGACCGAAGGGACGGCGUGAGCAAAGUGUCGGAGAAUGCUGAGGUAAAGGAGGACUUCGCGUUCAAGAUGGUGGACGGACGGGCCAGUGACCAGCGGCAGCCGGCGCGCACCAUCCAGGAGAGGGGCCUGAUGGUGGACACCGGGGCCACAUCCCACGUCAUCAACGACAUCGCCUUGUUCACAAGUUUCGACAGCACCUUCAGGCCGGAGACUCACAGCGUCGAGUUGGCUG